UACGGGGGGGGCAAGCGUUGUUCGGAAUUACUGGGCGUAAAGGGCUCGUAGGUGGCCAACUAAGUCGGACGUGAAAUCCCUCGGCUUAACCGGGGAACUGCGUCCGAUACUGGAUGGCUUGAGUUUGGGAGAGGGAUGCGGAAUUCCAGGUGUAGCGGUGAAAUGCGUAGAUAUCUGGAGGAACACCGGUGGCGAAGGCGGCAUCCUGGACCAACACUGACACUGAGGAGCGAAAGCCAGGGGAGCAAACGGG
Molecule: ribosomal RNA, 253 nt
Filed under: uncultured bacterium
Lineage: Bacteria
Description: partial 16S ribosomal RNA
Rfam family: Bacterial small subunit ribosomal RNA
Source: RNAcentral